CAGUGUGUCCCAGUGCAGGAUUUCCAGUGCCAGGGCCAAUGGUCCCAGCAAGUCCCAGUGCAGUGUCAGCACAUCCCAGCAUGUCCCAGUGCUGGGGCCUUGGGUCUCAAAAAGUCCCAGUGCAGGAUCCACGCAUCCCAGCACGUCCCAGUGCCAGGGCCAUGUGUCCCAGUGUGUCCCAGCACCUCUCAGUGCCAGGGACCGGGGUCCCAGCGUGUCCCAGUGCCGAGGCCAUGGCUCCCAGCAGCUCCCAGUUCAGGAGCUGUGCACCCCACUACGUCCCAGUGCCCAGCCAUGGCUCCCAGCACGUCCCAGUGCCAGCAGCCCGUCCGUCCCAGUGCAUUCCAGCCCCUCCCAGUGCAGCGAGAGGGAAACGGUGACUCAGAAGCGCUGGGGCCGGGCUGAUGGGAGCCGGGUGCCCCCUGCCCCACGCGGGGUGCUCGCCGUGGGGCCAAGAGGGCUCGGCCGGGGCAGCGGGCACCCAUGGGUGCUGCCAGCCCCGUGCCGCGCCGUGCCGCGCCGCCUCUCGCGCUCCCCUCCCAUCCUCUCCCUUUCCUGCGCACGGACACCCUUGGAAUGGCUCUUGGCUGCUUUCUCUGAGACAGGAAGGUGUCCCCGAGUCUCAGGAAGGAAAAACACUCAGUGCUGAACCCACAAAGACCGUCUCCGAGGGGCCGGGGCUGGAGACGCUCCAGGCCUGACAUCACCUGGGAACUGGAACCAGAACCGCAGCUGCACUCCGCGCCUGGUAUUUUUUUUUUUUUUCUUUAACUUGUGUUUUUAAACGGUCUUUUAUAGAUCUUUUUUUUUUUUUUUCCCUUUCCCUUCUCCAUUCCCCUCCCAAAUAUUUCAGCCUCUCCGCUGUUUAACCUUGCUGGGCCAGCGAGGCAGGAAUGCAGCGGGGCUGCACCCGCACCCGGCGGGGCCGGGACCGAGCUGCCGGAGGGGGCUCGGCGUGGGGCUGCUGGAAGGGGCUGGGAUCCAGCUCUGGGAUCCAGCUCUGGCAUCCAGCUCUGGGAUCCAGCCCCAGGAUCCAUCCCUGGGAUCCAGCCCCAGGAUCCAGCCCCAGGACCCAGCCCUCCUCAUGCCCUGUGCUGUGGCAGCCCCUCUGGGCUCUGCCCGGAGCAGAGGCUCAGGAUGAAGACCCCAAUCGCAUCCUAAAUGGCACCAGAGCAAAGCUGGGGCGCUCGGUGCCCAGGGACAUCGUCCCCGUGGCAGGAGCCGCAGCGAUUGCCCGAGUGGGGCC
RNAcentral lists this long non-coding RNA (1246 nucleotides) under Anser cygnoides (Swan goose). RNAcentral describes it as "lncRNA (ENSACDG00005003232.1)". The record is from RNAcentral. Lineage: Eukaryota; Metazoa; Chordata; Aves; Anseriformes; Anatidae.